UACAGAGGUGGCAAGCGUUGUUCGGAAUUACUGGGCGUAAAGGGCGCGUAGGCGGUCUUGCAAGUCCUGUGUGAAAUCCCUCGGCUCAACUGAGGAACUGCACAGGAAACUGCUUGGCUUGAGUUCGGGAGAGGGAAGCGGAAUUCCGGGUGUAGAGGUGAAAUUCGUAGAUAUUCGGAAGAACACCAGUGGCGAAGGCGACUUACUGGACGAUUGUUGACGCUGAGGUGCGAAAGCGUGGGGAGCAAACAGG
This 253-nucleotide ribosomal RNA is filed under the name uncultured bacterium. RNAcentral's name for it is "partial 16S ribosomal RNA". It matches the Rfam family "Bacterial small subunit ribosomal RNA", at positions 524 to 776 of the family's 1533-position model. The record is from RNAcentral.